Molecule: unclassified non-coding RNA, 329 nt
Filed under: soil metagenome
Description: partial contains 5.8S ribosomal RNA, internal transcribed spacer 2, and large subunit ribosomal RNA
Rfam family: 5.8S ribosomal RNA (bases 1-120)
Source: RNAcentral
GAUGAAGAACGCAGCGAAAUGCGAUAAGUAAUGUGAAUUGCAGAAUUCAGUGAAUCAUCGAAUCUUUGAACGCACAUUGCGCCCCCUGGUAUUCCGGAGGGCAUGCCUGUUCGAGCGUCAUUAUAACCACUCAAGCUCUCGCUUGGUAUUGGGGUUCGCGGUUCCGCGGCCCCUAAAAUCAGUGGCGGUGCCUGUCGGCUCUACGCGUAGUAAUACUCCUCGCGAUUGAGUCCGGUAGGUCUACUUGCCAGCAACCCCCAAUUUUUACAGGUUGACCUCGGAUCAGGUAGGGAUACCCGCUGAACUUAAGCAUAUCAAUAAGCGGAGGA